UCCUACGGGAGGCAGCAGUGGGGAAUUUUCCGCAAUGGGCGAAAGCCUGACGGAGCAAUACCGCGUGAGGGAAGACUGCCUAUGGGUUGUAAACCUCUUUUUUCAGGGAGGAAUAAAUGACGUGUACCUGAAGAAUAAGCAUCGGCUAACUCCGUGCCAGCAGCCGCGGUAAGACGGAGGAUGCAAGUGUUAUCCGGAAUCACUGGGCGUAAAGCGUCUGUAGGUGGUUUAAUAAGUCAACUGUUAAAUCUUGAGGCUCAACUUCAAAAUCGCAGUCGAAACUAUUAGACUAGAGUAUAGUAGAGGUAAAGGGAAUUUCCAGUGGAGCGGUGAAAUGCGUAGAUAUUGGAAAGAACACCGAUGGCGAAAGCACUUUACUGGGCUAUUACUAACACUCAGAGACGAAAGCUAGGGUAGCAAAUGGGAUUAGAUACCCCAGUAGUCCUAGCCGUAAACAAUGGAUACUAGAUGUUGAACAGAUCGACCUGUGCAGUAUCAAAGCUAACGCGUUAAGUAUCCCGCCUGGGAAGUAUGCUCGCAAGAGUGAAACUCA
Molecule: ribosomal RNA, 553 nt
Filed under: uncultured bacterium
Lineage: Bacteria
Description: bacterial SSU rRNA
Rfam family: Bacterial small subunit ribosomal RNA
Source: RNAcentral